GGAUUAGAUACCCUGGUAGUCCACGCAGUAAACGAUGAGUGCUAGACGUUGGAAAUUAUAUUUUCAUUCUCGUAGCUAACGCAUUAAGCACUCCGCCUGGGGAGUACGAUCGCAAGAUUAAAACUCAAAGGAAUUGACGGGGGCCUGCACAAGCGGUGGAGCAUGCGGUUUAAUUCGACGAUACGCGAAGAACCUUACCAACCCUUGACAUAUUGGUCGCAGGAAACAGAGAUGUAUCCUUUCAGUUCGGCUGGACCAAACACAGGUGUUGCACGGCUGUCGUCAGCUCGUGCCG
RNAcentral lists this ribosomal RNA (295 nucleotides) under uncultured bacterium. RNAcentral's name for it is "partial 16S ribosomal RNA". It matches the Rfam family "Bacterial small subunit ribosomal RNA", at positions 775 to 1067 of the family's 1533-position model. The record is from RNAcentral.